This is a long non-coding RNA of Gossypium arboreum, 605 nucleotides long. RefSeq lists it as uncharacterized. The record is from RefSeq and is a predicted model, not a curated record. Lineage: Eukaryota; Viridiplantae; Streptophyta; Magnoliopsida; Malvales; Malvaceae. The transcript is spliced from 2 exons.
AAAACCGUUUCAGAAAAAAAAAAGCUUUAAAAUCCUCUGAAAGAGGGGAGAGGAAAGGCCCUCCGGGCUCUCGCCUCCGUCAGGCUAAGCUCCGGUCUUCGGGCAUACACGUGCCCACCCGCCACCGCCAACGCGCCACCACACACGGUGGUCGGACGGUUAAAAACCCUUGUUCUUUCAAGAAAAUCGCAGGCAAUCGAGGAAAAUCCGGCGAUGAUCGUGCUGGUGAUGUAGAUCUACCGGUGGUGUUGAUCACGGUGUGAUUCGGAGCCUGGAAUCACGGCCUUGAUGGUGGACAGCUGGAACGACGCGAUACGAGCAGUCGCGUCGUUUGGAAUGUUUGCGGCGCGAAGGUUUCCCAAGAAACCCUAAGUCUCCUGAAACUAUUUGGUAUCCGGUCAAACACCAUUAUUGGGCCAUAGGGUUUAACUUGGGUCUGGUACGGGUUAUUGGGCUUAAGUCUAAAUGGGUGUAGGCUUAUUGGGUUGUAAACCGGGUACUCGAUAGUUGGGUUACGGGUUAAUGAGUUAAUAAAAUGUAAUUGGGCUGUAAAUGAAUUUUGGGCUUUGUACAUGGACUGUAAUAAAUAAACAUUUAUUUAUUUA